RNAcentral lists this small RNA (245 nucleotides) under Arabidopsis thaliana (thale cress). RNAcentral describes it as "ATSL164050". The record is from RNAcentral. Lineage: Eukaryota; Viridiplantae; Streptophyta; Magnoliopsida; Brassicales; Brassicaceae.
CAUUAGUGCGGGUAUGAUCACAUCCGUUACUACAUGCAAUGCAAUCGUAUAUAUUUUUUUUGAAGACUUUAUGAUCCAUUUGCCGUGGGUCUCACCAGCUAUAUAGGAAUACCCUAUCUUGUUUAUAAGAGCUUUGAUACAUGCAAAAUAUUUGAAAACAAUGUCCGAACGUAUAAUCUUCGUCCCGUAAUAUAGCAAAGAUCACUAAAAGGCUAGAAAAAGUACAUUAAGAUCAAAAUUUUGAG